ACUCAUCUCGCCGAAAACCAACUCCACCAACUUCAAUCCCUUGACAGCCGUAUUACCUAACGAUGGCAAAUCACAAAUAGGAUUUUUGAAGUAAAAGCUUCGGUGGCUCAUCCCCUAACCCCUCAAUUUCCCGAUAGCCACAUCAUCAUCACCAUCUUUGAAGUUUGAAGUAUUUCCAUAUUGGAUUGAUAAAAGGACAAGGCAAACUUCUUCUUUUUUGGUAAAAAAUCCUUCUAUUCUUUGGUCAGAAAAAAAAAAAGAUCUCAUCUUUACGUAACACACAUACAUAUUUGAAUUUUCAAUUGGCCACUGAAACACACAGCACCGACAUAACAACGCCGAUGCAAAAUGGGUCAGCUUGGAUCGUAGAGUAGAGAUGGGAGGUUUAAUAGUGCAGGGGAUUCCCUCGUUGCCUUUCACCCCCUCCCUCAUUUUCCGGUGCCGAUUCGAGUUCGGAUUCGAGGUUCCGCUCGAAAAUAUCUGCUAGUAGAUCCGAUUGGUAGUAGCUCGUUUCAUUCUUGGGAAAGUUCCCUUUGAGAUUUGAGUCUCGGAUUUAGGCGAUUUCAAAGGAAUUUUUCACGAUUUCGACUUGAAUUUGAAGCUUCAGACGAAUUCACGAGACAAAGGCUUGUCGGAUAUUUGAAUUGAUUGCAAAACGAGAUAAGUGUUUGGUCUACCUUAGCUUGAGGAAAUAAGAGUUGAGUAUAUUUGCUACUUGUUAUGUGUUGUGUCCGACGUAUAUGCAUGGUGACGAGUAUCUAUACGUUGGGGUCGAGCAUGACUGUGAGUCCUAAAUUGCUAAAUAGUUGUA
RNAcentral lists this long non-coding RNA (811 nucleotides) under Nicotiana benthamiana. Its description in RNAcentral is "long non-coding RNA (NBEN_LNC015175)". The record is from RNAcentral. Lineage: Eukaryota; Viridiplantae; Streptophyta; Magnoliopsida; Solanales; Solanaceae.